GAAAUGUCUGUGCAUCACAUAUACUAAAAUCAUAAUGAUACAGAGAAGAUUAGCAUGGCCCCUGCACAAGGCUGACACGCAAAUUCAUGAAGUCUUCCAUAUUUUU
Physeter macrocephalus (sperm whale) is the source of this 106-nucleotide small nuclear RNA. Lineage: Eukaryota; Metazoa; Chordata; Mammalia; Artiodactyla; Physeteridae. The record is from Ensembl.